AGUGAACGCUGGCGGUAGGCCUAACACAUGCAAGUCGAACGGCAGCACAGUAAGAGCUUGCUCUUACGGGUGGCGAGUGGCGGACGGGUGAGGAAUACAUCGGAAUCUACUUUUUCGUGGGGGAUAACGUAGGGAAACUUACGCUAAUACCGCAUACGACCUACGGGUGAAAGCAGGGGAUCUUCGGACCUUGCGCGAUUGAAUGAGCCGAUGUCGGAUUAGCUAGUUGGCGGGGUAAAGGCCCACCAAGGCGACGAUCCGUAGCUGGUCUGAGAGGAUGAUCAGCCACACUGGAACUGAGACACGGUCCAGACGCCUAAGGGAGGCAGCAGUGGGGAAUAUUGGACAAUGGGCGCAAGCCUGAUCCAGCCAGACCGCGUGGGUGAAGAAGGCCUUCGGGUCGUAAAGCCCUUUUGUUGGGAAAGAAAAGCAGCAGGUUGAUACCCCGCUGUUCUGACGGUACCCAAAGAAGAAGCACCGGCUAACUUCGUG
This 492-nucleotide ribosomal RNA is filed under the name uncultured bacterium. RNAcentral's name for it is "partial 16S ribosomal RNA". It matches the Rfam family "Bacterial small subunit ribosomal RNA", at positions 29 to 507 of the family's 1533-position model. The record is from RNAcentral.